GUGCACAAGUUUGCCUCCAAACAACUGGGUGAUGCCUCCAAACAGACCUGGAAUCAUCCAUUUCUCCAAGGAUCUCUGCUUCUUCUUGUAAAAUAGGCUAUUUAAGGACUACAAUCUGAGCAUUAAGGGUCUUGGAGGAAGGCAUCCUUCUAUUCUACUGAUCAGAAAGCUGGACAAAGUCCCACUGCCAGGCUACACAGUUGGUGCCAUUUGCGGAGGCCCACCCGCAGCGGUCACGUGAAGGACCGAGCGCCGCGCGCCCAGGCGGGGCCUCCGGCCUGCACGAGGAGGGCAGAGUCCGUUGCGGCUGCCGCCCCGACGCCCGCGCAUCCCCGCUCGCCGCGCCCGCCGCCGCGAUGUCCGGGGCCGGCCUAGCCGCGGUGGUGAGCUGCCUGCGCCCGCAGCCCGGCGAGGAGCCGCAGACCCAUGAGGACCUUCUCCUGGCAGCUGCCUAUGUUUUGGAUGCCCAGUACAACAGAAAUGUUCCAUUUGAAACUCACCUCAGGCCAUCAGACGUUACUAUUUUUAUAACCACUAGACAACGCAGGUUGCCGCAUACUUCUUUAUUUGUGUAGACCUCGCUCUUGCCCUGUUUGAAGAGUCUGAGUUGCUUCCCCUGCCUUUCUUGGCCACCUCAAUAGCAGAAGUACUCUGCCUGACUGCAUACUUUGGCAGACUGGUACAUUUUGCAAAAGUCACUCCUCAAAUGGUUUUCUGGAAGGAUACAAAAGACAUCUGCACCAUGGUAACCACAGUGGCGAGUGUUCAUUGUAGUACCUGUAAGAGUUUAUGACCGAAGGCAGGAGCCAUGAAGAAAAAAGACUCAAUAGAUUUGCUUUUGAUGAAACAACAACACUUCCAUACAGUGAACGCCAUAAGCACAACUGCAAGCAAACCCCAAACUGAAGAACAAAUAGGGCAAAAUGUGGCAGUGCAGACAUUUCAGCAUAUCAAGAGCACUUCCAAAUUACAGGAAAAAAAAGAUAUCUCAAUAGAUAAUUUUGCUGAAGAUAAGUGAAGGCAACUCAUAAGGAAAAAAUAUGUAAAAUGGCCGAUAGGAAAGAUGUUUAACGUCACUAAUUAAAAAUUAUAGAAUAAAACGACAAUAAAAUACCAUGUGUUUGCCUAUAAAAAAUCUUAGCAAGAUUGAAAACAAA
This 1157-nucleotide long non-coding RNA is filed under the name Homo sapiens (human). RNAcentral describes it as "PREDICTED lncRNA (TCONS_00150395)". Lineage: Eukaryota; Metazoa; Chordata; Mammalia; Primates; Hominidae. The record is from RNAcentral.